RNAcentral lists this ribosomal RNA (751 nucleotides) under uncultured archaeon. RNAcentral's name for it is "bacterial SSU rRNA". It matches the Rfam family "Archaeal small subunit ribosomal RNA", at positions 91 to 847 of the family's 1478-position model. The record is from RNAcentral.
CAGUAACACGUCGAUAAUCUAACUUAUGGUCUGGGAUAACCUUGGGAAACUGAGGCUAAAACCGGGUAGGGGAUUGAUACUGGAAUGUACUUUCCCUGAAAGGCAACGCCAUAAGAUGAGUCGGCGGCUGAUUAGGCAGUUGGUGAGGUAAUGGCUCACCAAACCUUAGAUCAGUAGGGGGGAUGAGAGUCCCCGCCCCGAGAAUGGCACUGAGAUAAGGGCCAUAGUCCUAAGGGAUGCAGCAGGCUAGGAUUCUUUACAAUGCGCGCAAGCGUGAUAAGGGAAACCCAAGUGCUCGCUUUACGCGGGCUUUUGCCAAGUGCAAAAAGCUUGGCGAAUAAGUGGUGGGCAAGACUGGUGCCAGCCGCCGCGGUAACACCAGCGUCCACUAGUGGUUAUCAUAUUUAUUGGGUCUAAAGCGUCUGUAGCCGACUAGGUAAGUCCUUUGUGAAACUGUAGGGCUCAACUCUACAACGUGCAAAGGAAACUACCAAGUUAGGGACCGGGAGAGGUUUGGAGAAUUCCUUGGGAAGCGGUAAAAUGUUUUAAUCCUUGGAAGACUACCAAUGGCGAAGGCACCAAACCAGAACGGAUCCGACGGUGAGAGACGAAAGCUGGGGGAGCGAUCAGGAUUAGAUACCCUAGUAGUCCCAGCUGUAAACACUGCCAACUAUGUGUUGCACGCUCCUCGUGAACGUGCAGUGCCGGAGCGAAGGCGUUAAGUUGGCCACCUGGGAAGUACGGCCGCAAG